Molecule: RNA transcript, 1268 nt
Organism: Sapajus apella (tufted capuchin)
Lineage: Eukaryota; Metazoa; Chordata; Mammalia; Primates; Cebidae
Gene name: heat shock protein HSP 90-alpha pseudogene
Exons: 2
Source: RefSeq, a predicted model, not a curated record
AUGCAGAACCUGUGCAAAUUUGGUGUGUACCUCAGUUACUCUUUAAUCUCAAAGGCCAAUAUAGUUUAUAAAAAGACACAGAUUGAGCCCAUUGAUGGGUACUGUGUCCAACAGCUGAAGGAAUUUGAGGGGAAGACUUUAGUGUCAGUCACCAAAGAGGGCUUGGAACUUCCAGAGGAUGAAGAAGAGAAAAAGAAACAGGAAGAGAAAAAAACAAAGUUUGAGAACCUCUUCAAAAUCAUAAAAGACAUAUUGGAGAAAAAAGUUGAAAAGGUUGUGUCAAACCGAUCAGUGACGUCUCCAUGCUGUAUUGUCACAAGCACAUAUGGCUGGACAGCAAACAUGGGAGAAUCAUGAAAGCUCAAGCCCUAAGACACAACUCAACCAUGGGCUACAUGGCAGCAAAGAAAUACCUGGGGAUAAACCCUGACCAUUCCAUUAUCGAGACCUUAAGGCAAAAGGCAGAUGCUGAUAAGAACGACAAGUCUGUGAAAAAUCUGGUCAUCUUGCUUUAUGAAACUGCGCUCCUGUCUUCUGGCUUCAGCCUGAAAGAUCCCCAGACACAUACUAACAGAACCUACAGGAUGAUCAAACUUGGUCUAGGUAUUGAUGAAGAUGACCCUACUGCUGAUGACACCAGUGCAGCUGGAAGUGAAGAAAUGCCACCCCUCGAAGGAGAUGAUGACACAUCACGCAUGCAAGAAAUACACUAAGCUCCAGCUGAGGGAUGACUUACCUGUUCAAUACUCUACAGUUCCUCUAAUAAUAUAUUUUCAAGGAUGUUUUUCUUUAUUUUUAUUAACAUUAAAAAGUCUGUAUGGCAUGACAACAACUACUUUAAGGGGAAGAUAAAGAUUUCGGUUGACUUCUAAGCGAUGCUGUGAUACUUUAGGCAGUAAAGCAGAGCUAGUAAUGCUUUUUUAGUUUCACAUUGGCUUACAUGAACAGAUCGAGGUAAUGUGUGUUGUAAGAUGUAUGUAACAUGUUACCUUUGUGGUCUAAAGUGUUUAGUUCUCAAGCCAGAUUCCUUAGUAGACCAAAUCUUGUUAUCGAAGGCUUCCCAAGCUAUACCUUGAUGUUUAGAAGAAAAGUAUUUGUUAUAUCUUGUAGGGUCUACUUUCUGAACUUUUCAUCCCCUGUAGUUGCCAAUUCUGCAUGUACUAGUCCUCUAGAAAUAGGUUAAACUGAAGCAACUUGAUGGAACUCUCCACAGGGCUUGUUUUCCAAAAAAAGGUAUUGUUUGGAGGAGCAGUUAUUAGCCUACCUAA